AAUCCGUGUUGUGGGCAUGAACGCUGACCAAAUCUUUGAACCUUUCCCAACAUUGAAAGAAUGUUUCAUCUUCCUUUUGGGCAAAGUUCAUGAUCGCUUUUCUGAGGGU
Magnolia sinica is the source of this 109-nucleotide small nucleolar RNA. NCBI's taxonomy places the organism in Eukaryota, Viridiplantae, Streptophyta, Magnoliopsida, Magnoliales, Magnoliaceae. The record is from RefSeq and is a predicted model, not a curated record.